This 468-nucleotide ribosomal RNA is filed under the name uncultured bacterium. Its description in RNAcentral is "partial 16S ribosomal RNA". It matches the Rfam family "Bacterial small subunit ribosomal RNA", at positions 28 to 507 of the family's 1533-position model. The record is from RNAcentral.
GACGAACGCUGGCGGCGUGCUUAACACAUGCAAGUCGAACGGAAAGGCCCUGCUUUUGUGGGGUGCUCGAGUGGCGAACGGGUGAGUAACACGUGAGUAACCUGCCCUUGACUUUGGGAUAACUUCAGGAAACUGGGGCUAAUACCGGAUAGGAGCUCCUGCUGCAUGGUGGGGGUUGGAAAGUUUCGGCGGUUGGGGAUAGACUCGCGGCUUAUCAGCUUGUUGGUGUGGUAGUGGCUUACCAAGGCUUUGACGGGUAGCCGGCCUGAGAGGGUGACCGGCAACAUUGGGACUGAGAUACGGCCCAGACUGCUACGGGAGGCAGCAGGGGGGAAUAUUGCACAAUGGGCGGAAGCCUGAUGCAGAAACGCCGCGUGCGGGAUGACGGCCUUCGGGUUGUAAACCGCUUUCGCCUGUGACGAAGCGUGAGUGACGGUAAUGGGUAAAGAAGCACCGGCUAACUACGUG